Molecule: long non-coding RNA, 382 nt
Filed under: Monodelphis domestica (gray short-tailed opossum)
Lineage: Eukaryota; Metazoa; Chordata; Mammalia; Didelphimorphia; Didelphidae
Description: lncRNA (ENSMODG00000046503.1)
Source: RNAcentral
AUGCCACUAUUCUCCAGGGCAGAGGAUCUAGGGAAAUACAAGGAAAAUACAGGAAGCAAGAGGAGCUUGGCCUCCCUGCAGUAUGAUUGGGCCCUGUACAGUGUUGAGCAUCAGUUGGCCAUGUUCCAUCCAACAAGUUUGUUUCCCUUAGGGAUGGAUGACAGCCCUGAACUUCUUACAUUCUUCACAUUCCUCUUGACACCCUGGGAAAGUUGCCUGACUUGCUCUUUAUUUCAAUCCAUGUGUUACUUCAGCUAGUGGUAAAAUUUCAAUCCUUUAUUGCAACUGAUGAAGAGUGAAGUAAGCAGAACCAGGAAAACUGUUCCCAGGAACAGCAGUAUGAUACCGCCAAGGGAAGGGGACCAGAUGGAAACGGUAUUCU